This 792-nucleotide non-coding RNA is filed under the name Cimbex luteus. Lineage: Eukaryota; Metazoa; Arthropoda; Insecta; Hymenoptera; Cimbicidae. The record is from RNAcentral.
UGAAAGUUUGAUUUUGGUUUUAGUAUUUAUUUAAUGAUUAUUUUGCAUGUAAAUUUUUGUUAGAUUAAUAAUAUUUUUAAAUAAAUUAUUAUAUAAAUUUUAUUUGCAGCAAUUAAUUUUAAUAAUUAAAUAAUUUUAGAAUUAUUARUUAUUAUAAUAUAARCAAAUUUUGUGCCAGCAGYUGCGGUUAUACAAAUUAUAURAUUAAAUAAUUUAUUAAUUUAUAAUUUUAAWUUAAWAUUWAAAUUUAAAAAAAUUAAAAUUUAGGUGAAAUUUUUUUUAAAAAAUUAAAAAUUUUAUUAAAUUUAUUUAAAUUAUUAACUCUAAAAAUUAAACUAGGAUUAGAUACCCUAUUAUUUUAGAAUUAAAAUUAAAAUUUUAAGGAUUAAUAGUUAYAUUCUUUAAACUUAAAAAAAUUGGCGGUAUUUAAAUCUAAUUAGGGGAAUUUGUUUUUUAAUUGUUAAUACUCAAAAAACCUUACUUUAAUUAUUAAUUUGUUUAUUGUCGUUAUCAAAAUAUUUUAAUAGAAUAAUAAAUUUUUAAAAAUUUUUAUWUAAAAAUUUAUUUCAGAUCAUGAUGCAGUUUAUAUUAAAGUUAAAAUUAAUUACAAUAAAAUUUAUUUAUAUGGAUAUGAWAUUGAAAAAURUUUUAGAAGGUGGACUUAAUAGUAAAUUUAAUAAUUAUGUUAAUUUGAAUUUAGAAUUAAAUAUGUACAAAUUGCCCGUCACUCUCGUUUUAAAAUGAGGUAAGUCGUAACAAAGUAAGUGUAUUGGAAAAUGUGCUUAGUUAUUU